RNAcentral lists this ribosomal RNA (465 nucleotides) under Vreelandella stevensii. Its description in RNAcentral is "partial 16S ribosomal RNA". It matches the Rfam family "Bacterial small subunit ribosomal RNA", at positions 338 to 795 of the family's 1533-position model. Lineage: Bacteria; Pseudomonadati; Pseudomonadota; Gammaproteobacteria; Oceanospirillales; Halomonadaceae. The record is from RNAcentral.
CCUACGGGAGGCAGCAGUGGGGAAUAUUGGACAAUGGGGGGAACCCUGAUCCAGCCAUGCCGCGUGUGUGAAGAAGGCCCUCGGGUUGUAAAGCACUUUCAGUGAGGAAGAACGCCUGGUGGUUAAUACCCAUCAGGAAAGACAUCACUCACAGAAGAAGCACCGGCUACACUCCGUGCCAGCAGCCGCGGUAAUACGGAGGGUGCGAGCGUUAAUCGGAAUUACUGGGCGUAAAGCGCGCGUAGGUGGCUUGAUAGCCGGUUGUGAAAGCCCCGGGCUCAACCUGGGAACGGCAUCCGGAACUGUCAAGCUAGAGUGCAGGAGAGGAAGGUAGAAUUCCCGGUGUAGCGGUGAAAUGCGUAGAGAUCGGGAGGAAUACCAGUGGCGAAGGCGGCCUUCUGGACUGACACUGACACUGAGGUGCGAAAGCGUGGGUAGCAAACAGGAUUAGAUACCCGAGUAGUC